AGGUCGAUCCAGUCUGAGAGUCACAGUCCGGGCUCCUCCACAAAUCAUGGAGUCAACCAGGAUGAAACUCAUGAAUACAACUCUCUUCAUCCUGGUACCAAUCACAUCUAUGACUCAGUUACGCUGGUUGAAGACAACAGAAAUGGAUCAGAUGAACAUCAAGAUGUCACAUACGCUCUUACUGAAUUUAAAAACUUUGGAAAGAAGCGGAAGCAUCAUAAACCAGAGCAGAGUGCUGUUUACUCUGAGGUGAAGACGGGAGCUGCAGAGUUGGAAGACUUUGUACUGGGUUACUGCUUCCUCAUUUGGACUUUCAGGCACAGGAUGGAGAGGAGUGCAGCACUGAUUACCCCUCUCCUCACCUCAACACUAUAUCUGAAAUCAGCAAUAGCACAGAGUAGAUUAGUUAUAUUUGGAUAAAAUUCAGAGGACAGUCUGAUGUAUGCUGAGGUCAAACGCCCCAAAAAAGAAAAAGCCAAGAAAAAAGCAGGAAAAUCAAGUCCUGCAGCAGAUGCAGCAGUUUAUUCUGAAGUCACAUUAGGAAGCUUUCCUGGUCAGUGAGGAGAGCUGCAGCAGCAAAGCCAAGAAGAAGCAUUUUAUGAAUCCACUGUUGCUCCUCUGCUGCCCAAAUAUCAGACACACUCAGUUUUUAGUGUUUAUGAAGAUGAUAUUGAAUAAUAAUAUGAUAUAGAGUUGGUACUGUGUCUUAGCAUAAAGCACACAGAGAUGUGUCCUGUUUCAGAUCCUUGCUCUUUAUAUUCAGCUGAUAUUUUUAUUCAUUUUUAAGCUUUAAUAUAAAAUUUUGAAUGUAUCCUCUGCCAACAGCAAGUGCAAUAGCAAUAAUAACUAUGAGGUGUAGCUCUGGGGCCGUUCUUCGUACCUCGCUUACUACAUCCAAGAUCAAAUGACACAUCCAAGAUCAAAUCAUCGCGCUAACUUUGAGCUCGCUAAUCCGGUUCUCCGAACACACCUGUUGUUGACGAUUAGUAUAGCUGGAUGAAGUAAUCUGAGAUCACUGGGUGGCUUAAAAGGGGCUACGCAUGGAUAGUAGAAACAUUGAUCGGCAACCCUGUGAUUGGUCGGCGAAGAUGUCGAAGGAGCGCGCUCAGUAUUUUACGGCAGCAGAGCAAGAACUCUUGAUUGAGGGAUAUCAGGAGUUUCAGAGUUUAAUUAAAACGCAGGGGAACACUGCAAAGGCUGCAAAAGCAAGGAGAGAGGGCUGGCAGAAAGUUGCUGACAAAUUAAACUCGUAAGUGAUCCAUGAUAUUACAUUAUAUCAUGUGAUAUUAUAUUAUACCACAUUAUAUUAUAUUACAUCAUAUCCUCUUCCACAUUAGAGCCACAACAGGACCCACUAGAACAUGGGAACAAGUAAAAGUGAAAUAUAAGAAUAUUCUACAGAAUGGUAAUAUUUAUCACUUAUAUUGCUUUUAGUCUCCUGAAAAGAGACCCGGAAAUAAUCUGUUUGUUUGUUUAUAACAGCAACCAAGAAAAGGGCAGAGCAAAUAAAGACAGGUGGUGGUCCUGCACCCCCUCGUCACACCCCGGCUUUUUGUACUGUGACAUUUAUUGACAUUGUGGGGUUUUUUGUGUGUAGUUUUACAUAACACUCCAUCACUUCUACCUGUUCCCAUGCAAGGGGUGACUGAAGCAUGCACAGUAAGUUGAGAUAUAUAUAUAUAUAUAUCCUGUCUAUCCCGCAAUAUACGCUGAAUUCUGAAAACUCUCCUUAUCAAUCUUGCACCUUCCACAAUGGGUUGCUCGCGUACAAACGAACAGGACAUGGCUGCGACAGACUUCCCUAAUCCACCUUCGCUUUUAUAGCCGUGGUCUCUCAUCUUGAUUGCACGUAGUAAUUUACUUACACUACCCUAAAAUAUGAAUUGCAUCUGACAUGAUCUACUACAUGACAUAGAAUGAUUAAGAGUACAUUUCCCUUUUUUUCGGAAAUGACCUGUAUGUAUCUGUAUGAAAUCAAUAAAAGCAUCAAAUGCUGCAUUAUAUUUAGUUACAUUGAUGAUAUUUAUUUAUGGUAAAACAGUGGCGAAAUAUCGCUGUUGCUUUCAUAUAACUGCAGCGGACAUACCUGAGUGGCCGCGAUCUAAUCCUGUUUACAUAAAGUAAACCUGCUCCCGAGCAGGUUUACGCUUACGGAUCUGUUGCUAUGACAGCAAGUCCCAGAUGAGCUUCGGAGAACCGAACGAUCCAAGAUCACGCGAAAUCGUCAACAAUCAAAUCCGGCUAACUUACUUAGCGAGGUACGAAGAACGGGCCCCUGCUUUCUUUGUCUGUUUGUUUUUAAAAUAUUAUUACUCUUCAAUCCAGAAGCAGUGUACACCUGGACAAGUCACAAUUGUGUCAUAUGACUAUCAGACAGAGACACACAAGCGUUCAGGCUCACAUUCACACCUACGACCACUUUAGAAUUACCAGUUAAUCUAACAUGCAGGUCCUGGGCUGUGGGAGGCAGCUGGAGUUCCCGGAGAGGGGCCACGCAGACCCGGGGAAAACCCAGUCAGGACCUUGCUGCGAGGAGACAGUGCUAACCAGCACACUGCUGCCACCUGCUGGUUUCUUAUUGCAUUACUCUGGAACAGUAAUCCCAGGAAUGCAUGUGUGCAGUUUAUCCAUACACAUUUUUUUGUGCACUAAAUGUUACCUGUAAAUAAUCCCUCAAC
Molecule: long non-coding RNA, 2678 nt
Organism: Oreochromis aureus
Lineage: Eukaryota; Metazoa; Chordata; Actinopteri; Cichliformes; Cichlidae
Source: Ensembl